RNAcentral lists this long non-coding RNA (365 nucleotides) under Gallus gallus (chicken). RNAcentral's name for it is "lncRNA (ENSGALG00010008471.1)". Lineage: Eukaryota; Metazoa; Chordata; Aves; Galliformes; Phasianidae. The record is from RNAcentral.
GGUGGCUGUGGGUAGCAUGCAGUGCAUUGGAAGUGCUUUAAGAUUCAACAUGAAAAGAAGAGCUAUACUGUGUCAUACUGAUGUCCCAUAACUCUGGCAUCUAACUAGUCAUCUGGGAGUUCUCCAUUCCCCCUAACAGUGAGAGACUGACAUAAUACCUGGAAUGCAGCUCUGCCCUGUCUGUCCUUUCCUCUCCUCGUCCCUCCACAACCUCAGAAAAGGGAGACGAAAAACAAACAAAGUUGAGGAUGGGCAGAAAUAUGGAGUGGCUUCCAGACAAUGAGGGAUUCAACAAGUCAGAAUUCAUCUGAGGCAAGAUGACUGUGAGAAGGUGUGAUGGAAACCAAUAAACUAAUGAAUGCUGU